Molecule: ribosomal RNA, 1004 nt
Filed under: Salmonella enterica subsp. enterica serovar Newport
Lineage: Bacteria; Pseudomonadati; Pseudomonadota; Gammaproteobacteria; Enterobacterales; Enterobacteriaceae
Description: partial 23S ribosomal RNA
Rfam family: Bacterial large subunit ribosomal RNA
Source: RNAcentral
GAACGGGGAGGAGCCCAGAGCCUGAAUCAGCAUGUGUGUUAGUGGAAGCGUCUGGAAAGGCGCGCGAUACAGGGUGACAGCCCCGUACACAAAAGCGCAUGUGCUGUGAGCUCGAUGAGUAGGGCGGGACACGUGGUAUCCUGUCUGAAUAUGGGGGGACCAUCCUCCAAGGCUAAAUACUCCUGACUGACCGAUAGUGAACCAGUACCGUGAGGGAAAGGCGAAAAGAACCCCGGCGAGGGGAGUGAAAAAGAACCUGAAACCGUGUACGUACAAGCAGUGGGAGCACAGGUUUACCUGUGUGACUGCGUACCUUUUGUAUAAUGGGUCAGCGACUUAUAUUCUGUAGCAAGGUUAACCGUAUAGGGGAGCCGAAGGGAAACCGAGUCUUAACCGGGCGUUAAGUUGCAGGGUAUAGACCCGAAACCCGGUGAUCUAGCCAUGGGCAGGUUGAAGGUUGGGUAACACUAACUGGAGGACCGAACCGACUAAUGUUGAAAAAUUAGCGGAUGACCUGUGGCUGGGGGUGAAAGGCCAAUCAAACCGGGAGAUAGCUGGUUCUCCCCGAAAGCUAUUUAGGUAGCGCCUCGUGAAUUCAUCUCCGGGGGUAGAGCACUGUUUCGGCUAGGGGGCCAUCCCGGCUUACCAACCCGAUGCAAACUGCGAAUACCGGAGAAUGUUAUCACGGGAGACACACGGCGGGUGCUAACGUCCGUCGUGAAGAGGGAAACAACCCAGACCGCCAGCUAAGGUCCCAAAGUCAUGGUUAAGUGGGAAACGAUGUGGGAAGGCCCAGACAGCCAGGAUGUUGGCUUAGAAGCAGCCAUCAUUUAAAGAAAGCGUAAUAGCUCACUGGUCGAGUCGGCCUGCGCGGAAGAUGUAACGGGGCUAAACCAUGCACCGAAGCUGCGGCAGCGACACUGUGUGUUGUUGGGUAGGGGAGCGUUCUGUAAGCCUGUGAAGGUGUGUCGUGAGGCAUGCUGGAGGUAUCAGAAGUGCGAAUG